This 160-nucleotide unclassified non-coding RNA is filed under the name uncultured Ascomycota. RNAcentral's name for it is "sequence contains ITS2". Lineage: Eukaryota; Fungi; Ascomycota. The record is from RNAcentral.
UGGUACACCCUAAGGCCCAGCCUUGCGUUGGCCCAGGUCCUUGCCGUCCGAAAGGGCGGGUGCGGACCGGGCCGAAACACAUUGAGGCGUCGCCCUGCGAUCAGCUAUGCGCAACAGCAGCAGCUUUGAUGGCGGGCGUGGCAGCCAGUGACACCCACAA